UGGAGUUGAUUGGUGGGAUGCUGUGGGAUGCACACAAAGUGCUGCUGAGGAUGGGAUUGUUGCUUUGAACAGUGUCAUUGCUGUACUGGAUGCAGAUUUCCAUUCCCUCCCUUCAACUCAGCAUAGACAGCAGUAUGGACCGAGUCUAGACAGGAUAAAAUGCAGGCUUCUAGAAGGUACAAAUGCUCAAGAAGUCCGGGCAAUGGUGCUUGACAUGCAAGCAAGAUUGUUGCUAGAUAUGCUUGGCAAGGGAAUCGAAUCAGCUUUAACAAACCCAUCAGCAUUGGUUCCGGAGCCAUGGCAAGCUUCUAGCGAGACACUGUUUGGUAUUGAUCCUGAGGCGAUGGCUGUUGAACCAUCACUUGUGCCAAGUAUCCAGGCAUAUGUAGAUGCGAUACUGGAUCUGGCGUCUCAUUUCAUCACGCGCUUACGGCGCUAUGCAAGUUUCUGCCGUACAUUGGCUAGUCAUGCUGUUACUGCAGGUACAGGUGGGAGUAGGAGUAUGGUGACUAGUCCUACUCAAAGUGCUUCAUCUCCUGCCACUUCCCAGGGUGCUCAGGGUGGUACUGCAAGUUCUGCUGGGAGCACUCAGAUGCAAGCUUGGGUA
Molecule: unclassified non-coding RNA, 607 nt
Filed under: Hevea brasiliensis (rubber tree)
Lineage: Eukaryota; Viridiplantae; Streptophyta; Magnoliopsida; Malpighiales; Euphorbiaceae
Source: RNAcentral